GAUGAACGCUGGCGGCGUGCCUAAUACAUGCAAGUCGAGCGAACGGACGAGGAGCUUGCGUCUCUGAUGUUAGCGGCGGACGGGUGAGUAACACGUGUAUAACCUACCUAUAAGACUGGGAUCAUUUGGGGAAAGCGGAUACAACACCGGAUAAUAUUUUGAACCGCAGUGUUCAUAGGAGAAUGACGGUCGUGCUGGCACGAAUAGAUGGUUCCGCGCUGCAUUAGCUAGUUGGUAAGGAAAAGGCUUACCAAGGCUACGAUGCAUAGCCGACCUGAGAGGGUGAUCGGCCACACUGGAACUGAGACACGGUCCAGACUCCUACGGGAGGCAGCAGUAGGGAAUCUUCCGCAAUGGGCGAAAGCCUGACGCAGCAACGCCGCGUGUGUGAUGAAGGUCUUCGGAUCGUAAAACUCUGUUAUUAGGGAAGAACAUAUGUGUACGUAAACGUGCACAUCUUGACGGUACCUAAUCAAAAAGCCACGGCUAACUACGUG
Molecule: ribosomal RNA, 497 nt
Filed under: uncultured bacterium
Lineage: Bacteria
Description: partial 16S ribosomal RNA
Rfam family: Bacterial small subunit ribosomal RNA
Source: RNAcentral